AAAAAAGGAUAAAAAAAAAAAAAAAAGAGUAUGCAGGAAACGAAAUGAAAUAAUAUAGAAGAGAAUAAACGAAACACAGCCCUAAUCAAACCGCAGAGGGUAAAGGUAAGAAACCAAAAACCGNUUCCGAUCUCUGGGUAUUGGAAGGAAGAAAAAGGUGGCUUCGAGGGAAAAAGACGGGUGGGUUUUUCUUUUUUGGGGUAUUAUAUUAUAUAGGUUUUGUUUUUGUUGGGUAGGAUAUAAAAAAAUUCACAGAAAAUUCUAGUAUAAUUGCGUGCCACACGGGGUCGACAGAUUCUUCUUCGUCAAUAGAAGGAAAGAAGAAGAGAAACAGAUAAUACUAGAAUGGAGAUAGAUGGGUUCUGUUUGGACACAAAGAAACAUUGAGAAUU
Molecule: unclassified non-coding RNA, 392 nt
Filed under: Hevea brasiliensis (rubber tree)
Lineage: Eukaryota; Viridiplantae; Streptophyta; Magnoliopsida; Malpighiales; Euphorbiaceae
Source: RNAcentral